GAAGAAGAUUUUAGAUUUUCAUUUGACACAUUUCUAUCCUCUUCUUUACCUUCCUUAUUGUUAUCCUCCCCAAUCUUAUUGUCUACUACACGUCCACUCCUUAGGGUAGUCAAAGCAUUGGCUUGUCCAUGAUGAAUUGUAUUUAGUUGAUUUUCUUGAGCCAUGUACCUCUAGGAUUACUCACUGGUUGGCUUGGAAGCUUUCCUUCCUCUCGCUUGUUCAAUGCAUUAGCUAGUUGCCCCAUUUGAGAUUCUAGCUUGGCGAUAGAUUGCGUGUGAGAGUGCACCAAUUGUGUAAUGGUUUCCAAACCUUGAAGGGAGGUCAACACUUUCUCCUCAAAGGCUGUGUUUCUAUGGGGUGGAGGAGGAGUGUGUUGAAAUUGAGUCGAAGGACGGUAGGGAUUAAUAUUCUGGAAUGGUUGAAAGUUUUGGGAAUAAGGUUGGGAAGUAUUGGAAGUCUGCUGCUUCCAAGAAAAAUUCGGAUGGUUGCGCCAUCCUGGGUUAUAAGUGUUAGAAUACGGAUCAUUACCCGGUCUAGGCUGUGUUUGAGCAGCGUUGACUUGUUCUUGC
This 569-nucleotide long non-coding RNA is filed under the name Phoenix dactylifera (date palm). RNAcentral's name for it is "long non-coding RNA (PDAC_LNC020499)". The record is from RNAcentral. Lineage: Eukaryota; Viridiplantae; Streptophyta; Magnoliopsida; Arecales; Arecaceae.